RNAcentral lists this ribosomal RNA (207 nucleotides) under uncultured bacterium. Its description in RNAcentral is "partial 16S ribosomal RNA". It matches the Rfam family "Bacterial small subunit ribosomal RNA", at positions 568 to 774 of the family's 1533-position model. The record is from RNAcentral.
CGCGUAGGCGGUCUCUUAAGUCAGAUGUGAAAGCCCGGGGCUCAACCCCGGAAGUGCAUUUGAAACUAAGGGACUUGAGUAUGGGAGAGGGAAGUGGAAUUCCUGGUGUAGAGGUGAAAUUCGUAGAUAUCAGGAGGAACACCGGUGGCGAAGGCGACUUCCUGGACCAAUACUGACGCUAAGGCGCGAAGGCGUGGGGAGCAAACA